AUACGUAGGUGGCAAGCGUUGUCCGGAAUUAUUGGGCGUAAAGCGCGCGCAGGCGGUUUCUUAAGUCUGAUGUGAAAUCCCGGGGCUCAACCGCGAGCGGCCAUUGGAAACUGGGGAACUUGAGUGCAGGAGAGGGGAGGGGAAUUCCACGUGUAGCGGUGAAAUGCGUAGAGAUGUGGAGGAACACCAGUGGCGAAGGCGGCUCUCUGGCCUGUAACUGACGCUGAGGCGCGAAAGCGUGGGGAGCGAACAGGAUUAGAUACCCUGGUAGUCCACGCCGUAAACGAUGAGUGCUAAGUGUUAGAGGGUAUCCACCCUUUAGUGCUGCAGCAAACGCAUUAAGCACUCCGCCUGGGGAGUACGGCCGCAAGGCUGAA
RNAcentral lists this ribosomal RNA (377 nucleotides) under uncultured bacterium. Its description in RNAcentral is "bacterial SSU rRNA". It matches the Rfam family "Bacterial small subunit ribosomal RNA", at positions 523 to 898 of the family's 1533-position model. The record is from RNAcentral.